This 468-nucleotide ribosomal RNA is filed under the name uncultured bacterium. Its description in RNAcentral is "partial 16S ribosomal RNA". It matches the Rfam family "Bacterial small subunit ribosomal RNA", at positions 28 to 507 of the family's 1533-position model. The record is from RNAcentral.
GACGAACGCUGGCGGCGUGCUUAAUACAUGCAAGUCGAACGGAAAGGCCCUGCUUUUGUGGGGUGCUCGUGUGGCGAACGGGGGAGUAACACGUGAGUAACCUGCCCUUGACUUUGGGAUAAAUUCAGGAAACUGGGGCUAAUAUCGGAUAGGAGCUCUUGCUGCAUGGUGGUGGUUGGAAAGUUUCGGCGGUUGGGGAUGGACUCGCGGCUUAUCAGCUUGUUAGUGGGGUAGUGGCUUACCAAGGCUUUGACGGGUAGACGGCCUGAGAGGGUGACCGGCCACAUGGCUACUAAGAUACGGCCCAGACUCCUACGGGAGGCAGCAGUGGGGAAUAUUGCACAAUGGGCGGAAGCCAGAUGCAGCAACGCCGCGUGCGGGAUGACGGCCUUCGGGUUGUAAACCGCUUUCGCCUGUGACGAAGCGUGAGUGACGGUAAUGGGUAAAGAAGCACCGGCUAACUACGUG